RNAcentral lists this small RNA (565 nucleotides) under Pan troglodytes (chimpanzee). RNAcentral describes it as "processed transcript". Lineage: Eukaryota; Metazoa; Chordata; Mammalia; Primates; Hominidae. The record is from RNAcentral.
CUCCUGGUUUUUCCUCACUGCCAGCUUAGCAUCGGGUUUUCUCAGCUCUGCUAAGCCAGUUACCACCGGGCCAUCUGCUGCUCAUUUUCCAGCUUUUGUUGCCAUUUUCUUCUCUCCCAUUAUCUUUGUCCUCGUGUUGUUUGUUAUCAUUUAGUGUUCUGUGCUGUUGUUUAGUGUUUUUUAUUAAUACUUAUUGCUUGUUAAUGUUGUAGUGUCUUGUUUUAACAGGAUUUGGGGAUGACAGAGCUAAGGGCCUUUUUCAAUCUUCCACUUUUAACCAGAAGACACGGCUAUAAAACCAAAACAAAACAAAACAUGAUUUUCACGGAGAAAACUGAAAGGAAAUUGGUUAAAUUGGCUGUUUUCUUGUUUAGUUCUUUUAAGACAAUAGAACUUGUCAUUGAAUGGAACAUGCUUUGUGGGGAAGUAAAAUUUGAGAUAUACUUUGAAGGAAGAGAAACGGGCUUCUCACAGCAUUGCACAGAACACCGCAAUGGUGUCCUCAGACCGAAGCCAACUUUCCUUCCUGCCCACAGAAGCUCAAGCCCAGGUGUCGCCGCCACCC